CAGCAGCCACGGGAAUACGUAGGGUGCGAGCGUUAAUCGGAAUUACUGGGCGUAAAGCGUGCGCAGGCGGUUCGUUAAGACAGAUGUGAAAUCCCCGGGCUUAACCUGGGAACUGCAUUUGUGACUGGCGAGCUAGAGUAUGGCAGAGGGGGGUGGAAUUCCGCGUGUAGCAGUGAAAUGCGUAGAUAUGCGGAGGAACACCGAUGGCGAAGGCAGCCCCCUGGGCCAAUACUGACGCUCAUGCACGAAAGCGUGGGGAGCAAACAGGAUUAGAUACCCCCGUAGUCCCUGUCUCUUAUAC
This 301-nucleotide ribosomal RNA is filed under the name uncultured bacterium. RNAcentral describes it as "partial 16S ribosomal RNA". It matches the Rfam family "Bacterial small subunit ribosomal RNA", at positions 509 to 807 of the family's 1533-position model. The record is from RNAcentral.